RNAcentral lists this ribosomal RNA (253 nucleotides) under uncultured bacterium. RNAcentral's name for it is "partial 16S ribosomal RNA". It matches the Rfam family "Bacterial small subunit ribosomal RNA", at positions 524 to 776 of the family's 1533-position model. The record is from RNAcentral.
UACGAAGGGUGCAAGCGUUACUCGGAAUUACUGGGCGUAAAGCGUGCGUAGGUGGUUUUCUAAGUCCGUUGUGAAAGCCCUGGGCUCAACCUGGGAAUGGCAGUGGAUACUGGAAAGCUAGAGUGCGGUAGAGGGUAGUGGAAUUCCCGGUGUAGCAGUGAAAUGCGUAGAGAUCGGGAGGAACACCAGUGGCGAAGGCGGCUACCUGGACCAGCACUGACACUGAGGCACGAAAGCGUGGGGAGCAAACAGG